CUUAAGAUCCCAGAGCAUCAUGAACGCCAAGGUUCUCCUCCUCUUGGUUGUGGUGGCAUCGGCCGCUGCCCAAAGACGCCCCUAUGCCUACCGUGCCCCUGAGUCAUCCGAGGAAUCGUACGAGUCUUCCGAAGCCAAGUACCAA
This 145-nucleotide unclassified non-coding RNA is filed under the name Penaeus monodon (black tiger shrimp). RNAcentral's name for it is "pro-resilin-like, transcript variant X2". Lineage: Eukaryota; Metazoa; Arthropoda; Malacostraca; Decapoda; Penaeidae. The record is from RNAcentral.